UGGGGAAUCUUGGACAAUGGGGCAACCCUGAUCCAGCCAUGCCGCGUGAGUGAUGAAGGCCUUAGGGUCGUAAAGCUCUUUCGCCUGUGAAGAUAAUGACGGUAGCAGGUAAAGAAACCCCGGCUAACUCCGUGCCAGCAGCCGCGGUAAUACGGAGGGGGUUAGCGUUGUCCGGAAUUAUUGGGCGUAAAGCGCACGUAGGCGGACCAGAAAGUUGGGGUGAAAUCCCGGGGCUCGAACCCCGGAACGUGCCUCCAAAACAUAUUGGUCUAGAGUUCGAGAGAGGUGAGUGGAAUUCCAAGUGUAGAGGUGAAAUUCGUAGAUAUUUGGAGGAACACCAGUGGCGAAGGCGGCUCACUGGCUCGAUACUGACGCUGAGGUGCGAAAGUGUGGGGAGCAAACAGGAUUAGAUACCCUGGUAGUCCACACCGUAAAACGAUGAAUGCCAGUCGUCGGGUAGCAUGCUAUUCGGUGACACACCUAACGGAUUAAGCAUUCCGCCUGGGGAGUACGGUCGCAAGAUUAAAA
RNAcentral lists this ribosomal RNA (528 nucleotides) under uncultured bacterium. RNAcentral's name for it is "bacterial SSU rRNA". It matches the Rfam family "Bacterial small subunit ribosomal RNA", at positions 355 to 899 of the family's 1533-position model. The record is from RNAcentral.